UUAUUGGAGAGUUUGAUCCUGGCUCAGGACGAACGCUGGCGGCGUGCCUAAUACAUGCAAGUCGAGCGAAUCAAUGGGAGCUUGC
Molecule: non-coding RNA, 85 nt
Filed under: Metabacillus litoralis
Lineage: Bacteria; Bacillati; Bacillota; Bacilli; Caryophanales; Bacillaceae
Description: Bacillus litoralis Bacterial small subunit ribosomal RNA
Rfam family: Bacterial small subunit ribosomal RNA
Source: Rfam by way of RNAcentral